Molecule: ribosomal RNA, 253 nt
Filed under: uncultured bacterium
Lineage: Bacteria
Description: partial 16S ribosomal RNA
Rfam family: Bacterial small subunit ribosomal RNA
Source: RNAcentral
UACGGGGGGGGCAAGCGUUGUUCGGAAUUACUGGGCGUAAAGGGUUUGUAGGUGGCCCGCUAAGUCACACGUGAAAUCCCUCAGCUUAACUGGGGAACUGCGUGUGAGACUGGCAGGCUCGAGGGCAGGAGAGGAACGCGGAAUUCCAGGUGUAGCGGUGAAAUGCGUAGAUAUCUGGAGGAACACCGGUGGCGAAGGCGGCGACCUGGGUCGAUACUGACGCUGAUGCGCGAAAGCGUGGGGAGCAAACAGG